CAGUAGCCGCGGGAAAACGAAGGGUGCAAGCGUUACUCGGAAUUACUGGGCGUAAAGCGUGCGUAGGUGGUUCGUUAAGUCUGAUGUGAAAGCCCUGGGCUCAACCUGGGAAUUGCAUUGGAUACUGGCGAGCUAGAGUGCGGUAGAGGGUAGUGGAAUUCCCGGUGUAGCAGUGAGAUGCGUAGAGAUCGGGAGGAACAUCUGUGGCGAAGGCGACUGCCUGGACCAGCACUGACACUGAGGAACGAAAGCGUGGGGAGCAAACAGGAUUAGAUACCCCCGUAGUCCCUGUCUCUUAUAC
This 301-nucleotide ribosomal RNA is filed under the name uncultured bacterium. RNAcentral's name for it is "partial 16S ribosomal RNA". It matches the Rfam family "Bacterial small subunit ribosomal RNA", at positions 509 to 807 of the family's 1533-position model. The record is from RNAcentral.